GACGAACGCUGGCGGCGUGCUUAACACAUGCAAGUCGAACGGUUAAGCGCCUUUCUUUUUGGUGUUUGUGGAUGAGUGGCUAACUGGUGCGUAACACGCUAGUUACCUGCCCCCUUUUUCUUCCUAACCGCAUGACUGUUUCGCUAUUACUCGUUAGUCUGGGUCUGUCGCAUGUUGGGUCUUCGCACUAUAUUGUUUCGGUGGGUGAUGUGCUCGCGUCGUAUCAGUUUGUUGGUGGGGUGGUGGCCUACCAAGGCGGUGACGGGUAGCCGGCCUGAGAGGGUGGACGGUCACACUGGGACUGAGACACGGGCCAGACUCAGACGGGAGGCAGCAGGGGGGAAGAUGGCAAAAUGGGCGCAAGACUGAUGCAGCGACGCCGCGUGAGGGAUGGAGGCCUUCGGGUUGUGAACCUCUUUCGACAGUGAAGCAGGCCUGCCGCGUGUGUGGGUGGGUUGACGGUAGCUGGAGAAGAAGCGCCGGCUAACUACGUG
Molecule: ribosomal RNA, 494 nt
Filed under: uncultured bacterium
Lineage: Bacteria
Description: partial 16S ribosomal RNA
Rfam family: Bacterial small subunit ribosomal RNA
Source: RNAcentral